CGGGCGGACGGGUGAGUAACGCGUGGGUAACCUGCCUCAUACAGGGGAGUAACAGUUAGAAAUGGCUGCUAAUACCGCAUAAGACCACAGUACUGCAUGGUACAGUGGUAAAAACUCCGGUGGUAUGAGAUGGACCCGCGUCUGGAUUAGGUAGUUGGUGAGGUAACGGCCCACCAAGCCGACGAUCAGUAGCCGACCUGAGAGGGUGACCGGCCACAUUGGGACUGAGACACGGCCCAG
RNAcentral lists this ribosomal RNA (240 nucleotides) under uncultured bacterium. RNAcentral describes it as "partial 16S ribosomal RNA". It matches the Rfam family "Bacterial small subunit ribosomal RNA", at positions 95 to 334 of the family's 1533-position model. The record is from RNAcentral.